AGUGAACGCUGGCGGUAGGCCUAACACAUGCAAGUCGAACGGCAGCACAGUAAGAGCUUGCUCUUACGGGUGGCGAGUGGCGGACGGGUGAGGAAUACAUCGGAAUCUACUUUUUCGUGGGGGAUAACGUAGGGAAACUUACGCUAAUACCGCGUACGACCUACGGGUGAAAGCAGGGGAUCUUCGGACCUUGCGCGAUUGAAUGAGCCGAUGUCGGAUUAGCUAGUUGGCGGGGUAAAGGCCCACCAAGGCGACGAUCCGUAGCUGGUCUGAGAGGAUGAUCAGCCACACUGGAACUGAGACACGGUCCAGACUCCUACGGGAGGCAGCAGUGGGGAAUAUUGGACAAUGGGCGCAAGCCUGAUCCAGCCAUACCGCGUGGGUGAAGAAGGCCUUCGGGUUGUAAAGCCCUUUUGCUGGGAAAGAAAAGCAGCAGGUUAAUACCCCGCUGUUCUGACGGUACCCAAAGAAUAAGCACCGGCUAACUUCGUG
Molecule: ribosomal RNA, 492 nt
Filed under: uncultured bacterium
Lineage: Bacteria
Description: partial 16S ribosomal RNA
Rfam family: Bacterial small subunit ribosomal RNA
Source: RNAcentral